GAUGAACGUUGGCGGUGUGCCUAAUACAUGCAAGUCGAACGGAGACUGUAGCAAUACUGUCUUAGUGGCGAACGGGUGAGUAACGCGUUGGUGAUCUGCCUCGAAGUGGGGAAUAACGUUCCGAAAGGAACGCUAAUACCGCAUAGUCUCUCUAUGAUUAGAAAGUAGAGAGUAAAGGAUUUAUUCGCUUCGAGAGGAGCCUGCGUCCCAUCAGCUAGUUGGUAGGGUAACGGCCUACCAAGGCAAUGACGGGUAGGGGACCUGAGAGGGUGGCCCCCCACAAUGGAACUGAAACACGGUCCAUACACCUACGGGUGGCAGCAGUAGGGAAUAUUAGUAAUGGGCGAAAGCCUGAACUAGCAACGCCGCGUGUGCGAAGAAGGCCUUCGGGUCGUAAAGCACUUUUUGAGAGGAUGAGGAAGGACGGUACUCUCAGAAUAAGUCUCGGCUAACUACGUGCCAGCAGCCGCGGUAAAAUCAACGUGUA
This 487-nucleotide ribosomal RNA is filed under the name uncultured bacterium. RNAcentral's name for it is "bacterial SSU rRNA". It matches the Rfam family "Bacterial small subunit ribosomal RNA", at positions 28 to 534 of the family's 1533-position model. The record is from RNAcentral.